UUCGACUAAGUACAAACCGCACACCAUUCAAGCGGUGUUCAAGUAUACCGAUCAUCUUCAAUCGGUAUUCAUCUUCACCGCACAUCUCUUGAAAGUUAUACCGGAGAAGUCUUACCCGGAGAAGAGAUAAACUGUUGAAGCCAUCAUUCAGCCGGUGUUCAUCUUUACCGCAUAUCUCUUGAGCGGAGAACGAGCGGAGAAGAGUCUGAUUCGUUCAGCAGGUAAGUCAUCUUGUGAGGACUGGAUUUGAUUACUCAAUCUCAAAGGGUUUGAUCGAAUCAUCAGGUUUGAUCUUUUCUAUUUCAUCAAGUUUAGUCCAAUUUUUGAUCGGUUUAUAUCUAAAUCGAUUUUCUGUCCGGUAUCUUUGUAUACCGAUUACUUCUUGAGCGGACUAGUGAGCAACUUCUUGAGCGGUUUAAGACUUGUGCAUCAAACUAGAUUGAGCGGACUUCUAAUCCGCUUAAUUCAUUUUACCCAAAUUCAUUCUUAAUCACUCAAUACCUUGAACAUCUUGAUAAGACUCGAUUAUAUUUUGACUGUUUUCUUUGGGAUUCUUAAUUGUCCGGUUUAUACCCUUGUGCUGUAUGUGUCUCAUAUGCUGUUCGAUUUAGACUGGUGCUGUGAGGUUUAUUGUUGUUACAGGUUUACAUGCUUGAUUUAGACUGUGUGCAGGUGACAAGUUGAUUUCAUUUUUUAGUGAAAUAAAAGCAAUAGUGGACAGCUCAGUCCUCUGUUCAUGACUGUUCUUAACAGUAGCAACAAGUUGGUGCAAACAGAACAGUAGCAACAAGGAGAUCUGUGUUGUAUUUCAAGCUACACAGUGUGCAGCAGAUUUAAAGUUUUGACAGCAAAGAACUGCAGCAGCAACAACAUUUGACAGAUUCGUAUGCUGUCCGAUUUAAUUUCUUACAUUGUCCAGUUUAAAUCUCAUGCAUUAACAGUGACUGACUGUUUCUUUAAGGAAUUUGUAGAUUUGAAGCAACAGCUUUACAGCAACAGCUUCACAGCAACAUCAGGUUGAUUUAAGUUUAAGCAACAUUAAUUGACAGCAGACUGUGACUGUUUAAGAAGUAUUAGUUGAAGCUAAGCAGCUGUGUUGAUUUGAGUUUGUUACAUUCCAGCUACAUAGGACUGAUAUAGCAGCUAACACUUUCACAAGUUUUGUAUUUGUUAUUUGAGAAGCUGUUUUUGAGUGAAUUUGAAUUCAUUGCUGCUGAUUUGUGUUGUGUUUGUUGUGUUUGACAGCAGGUGUCUGAUUUAAGAUAGUGUGCAGAAAGGUUUUGUAAACUAUGUUUUAACAGUUUUGAAGCAACACAGCAACACAGCUUUGAUGUGGUUUAAGUGCUGUCUGAUCUAAGAACACAACAAGUUUAAAACAACAGCUUCACUUUGACGCUUGAAACAACAACUACACUGAAGCUAAACAGCAACUUCAUUUUGUUGUUAGACGUUUUGAUUUGAGUGGAUUUGAAAGGAUCUUACACAGUUUUGAUUGCUKGUUUGAGUUUGAGGUUUAAGCAGCAGCAGUUUUUUUGAGUUUCAUACAAAAGCUGUGAAUUCACCAAAUCAAUUUAGAGUACUGUUUUAAAGUCUGAAACAGAAACACGUUUGAUAGUCAAUAUUGGUUACAUUUCAGCUAAACAGGUACAUUGUUUUAACCUUGUGCAUUAUCUGUGCUUGUGAACUUGAGGACUGGAACAGACUUGGCCAUAUUGUUCAAGCAUUGAUUUUAUGUUAUUGAUUUGAUUGUUCAACUGUUUUUGUGUCARGUAAAUCAAAGUACACUUUGGAAGAUUUUCAGACAUAGCAAGAGUUGGUUUUGGACAGAUUUAACAGUUUUGGAUCAAGUCACAGUAGCUCAAGUGAAGCAUCUGAUACGAGUAGAAUUCAAGUGGAUUUUUGAAUACACAGAGCAGAUAGAUCAUUUUUUUWAAAAGUGUAAUAUCUGUAUUGUAAAGAGUUGAUAUUGUAUUGUUUUUGGACUUAGAAUCAGAUUUUGGACUUGGACAUUCUUUUUG
This is a long non-coding RNA of Cynara cardunculus var. scolymus (artichoke), 2018 nucleotides long. RefSeq lists it as uncharacterized. The transcript is spliced from 3 exons. The record is from RefSeq and is a predicted model, not a curated record. NCBI's taxonomy places the organism in Eukaryota, Viridiplantae, Streptophyta, Magnoliopsida, Asterales, Asteraceae.